This 404-nucleotide ribosomal RNA is filed under the name uncultured bacterium. RNAcentral describes it as "bacterial SSU rRNA". It matches the Rfam family "Bacterial small subunit ribosomal RNA", at positions 29 to 433 of the family's 1533-position model. The record is from RNAcentral.
AUUGAACGCUGGCGGCGUGCCUAACACAUGCAAGUCGAGCGGUAACAGGUGUAGCAAUACAUGCUGACGAGCGGCGAACGGGUGAGUAAUGCUUCGGAAUCUACCCUCUGGUGGGGAAUAACCAGCCGAAAGGUUGGCUAAUACCGCAUACGUCCUACGGGAGAAAGCAGGGGAUCGCAAGACCUUGCGCCGAUGGAUGAGCCGAAGUCGGAUUAGCUAGNGGUGAGGUAACGGCUCACCAAGGCGACGAUCCGUAGCUGGUCUGAGAGGACGACCAGCCACACUGGGACUGAGACACGGCCCAGACUCCUACGGGAGGCAGCAGUGGGGAAUAUUGGACAAUGGGGGCAACCCUGAUCCAGCGACGCCGCGUGUGUGAAGAAGGCCUGCGGGUUGUAAAGCAC